UGAGGAAUUUUGCGCAAUGGGGGAAACCCUGACGCAGCAACGCCGCGUGAGUGAUGAAGGCUUUCGGGUCGUAAAGCUCUGUCAGGUGGGAAGAAUCCGCGAAUGGCCAACACCCGUUCGCGUUGACGGUACCACCGGAGGAAGCACCGGCUAACUCCGUGCCAGCAGCCGCGGUAAUACGGAGGGUGCGAGCGUUAUUCGGAUUUACUGGGCGUAAAGAGCGCGUAGGCGGCCGUCUAAGUCGGAUGUGAAAGCCCGGGGCUCAACCCCGGAAGUGCAUCCGAUACUGGGCGGCUUGAGUAUGGGAGAGGGAAGCGGAAUUCCUGGUGUAGCGGUGAAAUGCGUAGAUAUCAGGAGGAACACCGGUGGCGAAGGCGGCUUCCUGGACCAAUACUGACGCUGAGGCGCGAAGGCGUGGGGGGCAAACAGGAUUAGAUACCCUGGUAGUCCACGCAGUAAACGGUGAUCACUAGGUGUGGCGGGUAUUGACCCCUGCCGUGCCGGGGUUAACGCAUUAAGUGAUCCGCCUGGGGAGUACGACCGCAAGGUUA
Molecule: ribosomal RNA, 551 nt
Filed under: uncultured bacterium
Lineage: Bacteria
Description: bacterial SSU rRNA
Rfam family: Bacterial small subunit ribosomal RNA
Source: RNAcentral